GGUGUUAGGGCUCCAAGAGUUGGUGCCUAAUAGGUUUCCUAAGGGAACUCAAAUAACUUAAGUUAUUAGAAAACCCAGUGCAAGUAGGACUUGUAUUAUGUGAUUGGAUAGGAUUCAAUCCUUAUGUUUAUUUAAAGAGACCUCCCCUAAGGUCCCUAGACAUCCCAACCAAUAGCCCACGCCCAUCAAAGAGAGCCCCCACGCCCUCUCUUCUCCUCCCUUUCUCUUCUCCCUUUGGACGUCCACAUAUCCUUGUUCUUGGGCGUCCCAC
Molecule: long non-coding RNA, 271 nt
Filed under: Elaeis guineensis (African oil palm)
Lineage: Eukaryota; Viridiplantae; Streptophyta; Magnoliopsida; Arecales; Arecaceae
Description: long non-coding RNA (EGUI_LNC054221)
Source: RNAcentral